RNAcentral lists this ribosomal RNA (460 nucleotides) under uncultured bacterium. RNAcentral's name for it is "partial 16S ribosomal RNA". It matches the Rfam family "Bacterial small subunit ribosomal RNA", at positions 338 to 795 of the family's 1533-position model. The record is from RNAcentral.
CCUACGGGCGGCAGCAGUGAGGAAUAUUGGUCAAUGGACGAGAGUCUGAACCAGCCAAGUAGCGUGAAGGAUGACUGCCCUACGGGUUGUAAACUUCUUUUAUACGGGAAUAAAACGCCGUACGUGUGCCUCUUUGCAUGUACUUUAUGAAUAAGGACCGGCUAACUCCGUGCCAGCAGCCGCGGUAAUACGGAGGAUCCGAGCGUUAUCCGGAUUGAUUGGGUUUAAAGGGAGCGUAGGUGGGUUGUUAAGUCAGUUGUGAAAGUUUCGGGCUCAACCGUAGUAUUGCAAUGGAUACUGGCAGUCUUGAGUACGGGUGAGGUAGGCGGAAUUCGUGGUGUAGCGGUGAAAUGCUUAGAUAUCACGAAGAACCCCGAUUGCGAAGGCAGCUUACUAAACUGUGACUGACAUUGAUGCUCGAAAGCGUGGGUAUCAAACAGGAUUAGAUACCCGAGUAGUC